CUCUUCUUUAAUCUCUCUCUCCAAAUACCCUUGAGAAAAUGGAGGAAUAUGCCAAAGCAUUUGCUAUAUUUGCUAACUGCGGUACCACUAGCCUACGUUUUUCUAUUUGUGAAAAACAAUUCCAGUUAAGCUAAUUUUUGUUCUUUUGCAGUCUAUUCCAGCUUUGACACACAUAUAUAUAUAUAUAACUUUACCUUAUAUAAAAAGUUCUUGUUCUUGUGCAGGAAGUUCACCUUGCUAACUACACUAUACUAAAGUAUAAUUCCUCAAAAGUCAAGUAACUAAAUUUAGAGCUAUAAUCUACGUUUUUUUUUUUUUUUUUUGGCGCUUCCAGAGAACCACAGGGAGCAGAUUGUUAUGUUCCCUUUACUUGAUUUACAAGAUGGAUUUCUUCUUUAUAUGUUUUUUUUUUUUUUUUGGUAUUUUUGUCUACGUGGUAAUACUAAGUGUCUUUAAUUCCCAGUUCUCUCACUCUCUCUCCCUUUGUUUUUUUUUUAAUAAUGUGAUUAUUUGUAGUAACCAUUGAAGUGGAUUAUGCACCCAAGAUGUUUGAUGAUAUAUGCCUGACUCCUCUUAUUUGCAGUAAUGAAGUCCACAGGUUUUGUUUUAGGUUUGCCGUGAACUCGCACGAAGGGCAGUGAUCUAGCCAUAAGAGAAAGUCAUCAUGAUCUUGAGGCUUGGUUGAAUUAGACUUGGAGGAAACAUUUGAGUAUUUUGCUGAAGUAGUUUGUAUGGAACGAGAAGGCUGAGUGCUAUAGAUACACUCUCCAAAAUUCACAUGCAUCCUGAUCGGCGAGAUAAAAUUGAAAAUGGAGGAAGAGAAUAUUUCUUAGUCCUGCUAAAUUUUCAAAUAUUCUAUCUUGGUCAUAGUAUGUUGACUAUGUUCUGUUGUCGCUCAGAGGCAUGUUCAUAUGAAGAGUAUAUAAAAGGAGUGGAAAGUUCCUACUGGUUCGGGGCAUAUUGGUAUAUUAUUCAUGAGGAAAUGGUUGCAAAAAGACAACAACAUAACACGAGAGAACUUUGUCAUAAAGUAAAAGGAGUGGGAGGUUCCUAUUGGUUCGGGGCACAUUGGCAUAUUAUUCAUGAGGAAAUGGCUGCAAGAAGACAACAACGUAACACGAGAGAACUUUGAUGUUUAGAGUUCUAUAAAUGAAGAAUCUUUGAGUUCCAAAAUGCCUCUGCUAUGUGCAUUAUUUCAUUCAGUUCUGUUUUUCUAUACCCCACCAAUUUGAAAGGUGACUUUCCGUUGUAAAUUGAGCCAUGAAAUGAUGAACUGCCCUCUGCUGAUAGUAUACACUGUCAGUAAUCAAGAUGGGAACAACAUUACUGACAAACCAAUCUUGGACUAUAUUAUGAAGUCUCUUGGUCCAGAUUGUUUCUCUGCCUCUUCAAUGAGAAGAUCAGUUGGCCUUACUACAGGAAUGCGCCACACCUUAAUUAAGUUUAACUGAAAGUGAGAGACCCGGUCUACCAUCUGAAGUAAGUGCUUCCAUCACCAGUCUUAAAUGAAAUAUGGUGAAUGGUGAAGUGUCAAACUAUAGCACCGGAGCAAAAGCUACAUUGCAAGUUAAUGAUGAGGAAAAAUGGGGUUACAAUUGCUGACCGGGAAAAGUUGUCUUGAUCAAGCAACCCUGAUGCAAUGUUCUUAGAGGAAGUAGAAAUUCAAGAGAUGUGAUGACAUUUGGUAUAUCAGGGGGCCUCUCACACUGAGAGAAGGCUUGACUUGCUGAUGAUUGUAGACGGGGACUAUGAACAUGCAACAGAGGAUCAGAUGAUAAAGAAAGGCCAGAUAUGUUGUUAAUUGGCAAGACACCGACUACUCAGUAGUGGCAAUUUGGUGCAAGGAUAGACUAAAACUUAUGUUGUGUAUGAUUUGUAGUUUGGCAGGUAUGCAACAUGUGGUUUUCCAUAGCAACGUCUAUGCUAAAGUACCAGAAACUUACUAGGAACACAAUGUUUGAUGCUUUCGGAGUACAGAGGCUACGGUUCUGCUCAAAUUUCCAUUGAUUCCUCAAAUCUCACUUCAGAGGCCACAUCUUCCUCUGCUUUUGUCUCUAUUGUCUUUCAUAAAGAAGGCACUAUUCAAUCACUAGCCAAAUCUGUCGAUCAAGCUUCACUUUGGAGUUCAAACUCUUCGACUCCCAUAUAAGAAUCACGUUGAUGUUAUCUUUUAAGCAUGCAAAUAAAGCUCAUGCUUCCAGCUGGCAUGAAUUCUUCUAAAGUUCUGAUAUUUUUGUCAAGCUAAUUUAUGGAGUGGUCAAUUUUCAAAAGAGAUGGUGCUUCUUUUGUCCCUUAUGUAAAUGGGUUUUCUCAUUGAAGAUGAAGAAUGUACGACUUCACAAUCUUGUGCAACUUUGUUCCUUAGUGUGUGUAAAUAUUAUGAAGUGUUAAAAGCCUGAAACAAG
Long non-coding RNA from Lycium ferocissimum, 2405 nucleotides. RefSeq lists it as uncharacterized. The transcript is spliced from 12 exons. The record is from RefSeq and is a predicted model, not a curated record. NCBI's taxonomy places the organism in Eukaryota, Viridiplantae, Streptophyta, Magnoliopsida, Solanales, Solanaceae.